Molecule: ribosomal RNA, 253 nt
Filed under: uncultured bacterium
Lineage: Bacteria
Description: partial 16S ribosomal RNA
Rfam family: Bacterial small subunit ribosomal RNA
Source: RNAcentral
UACGUAGGGUGCAAGCGUUGUCCGGAAUUAUUGGGCGUAAAGAGCUCGUAGGCGGUCUGUCGCGUCUGCUGUGAAAACUCAGGGCUUAACCCUGAGCUUGCAGUGGGUACGGGCAGACUAGAGUGCGGUAGGGGAGACUGGAAUUCCUGGUGUAGCGGUGAAAUGCGCAGAUAUCAGGAGGAACACCGGUGGCGAAGGCAGGUCUCUGGGCCACUACUGACGCUGAGAAGCGAAAGCAUGGGGAGCGAACAGG